CCAAGGACUGUUUCUCUAAAGUUUUGUCAAAACGCAAGGGCCACCAACUGCCUACAGUAUAUGGCUUUCUCUAUAAUAUUACUUUUGGGAUGUAUGUUCUUCGAUAUGUUAUAAAUAUGGUGAUGCACGUCAAGAGAAAAGAAAAAAGGGAAGAAAAGAGUGAGACAUGGGACAGGAACUCGAUACCGCAAAAGAGCAAAUUAAGAUCAGCAUCAGCAUUUGCAGCAAAAGUGAACCAGAGGUGUGAACAGGUGCAAGAGCAGCUUGAACCCAAAUGCGAACGAUGAAACUAGGAACAAAAACUCUUUUGUACUGCAGAUAUCUGUACUGAUAAAUAAUUGCUUCCUGUCUGUACCACCUUAUAGACUUUUUUACUCUUGGUUCAGGCAAGAUUAUGUGUAUAGUAACAUAAGUUGCCCAUCAAUAAAACAUUUACAUCACAAACAUUG
Molecule: long non-coding RNA, 449 nt
Organism: Xenopus tropicalis (tropical clawed frog)
Lineage: Eukaryota; Metazoa; Chordata; Amphibia; Anura; Pipidae
Exons: 3
Source: RefSeq, a predicted model, not a curated record